This is a long non-coding RNA of Gopherus flavomarginatus (Mexican gopher tortoise), 724 nucleotides long. RefSeq lists it as uncharacterized. The record is from RefSeq and is a predicted model, not a curated record. The transcript has 3 exons. NCBI's taxonomy places the organism in Eukaryota, Metazoa, Chordata, Testudines, Testudinidae.
AAUGGAGACGUGAAAGAAAAGAAAGGACAAAGUGUACCAAAGAGAAAGAUUAAAAAGAGGUGCACCCCAACAGUCCCCAAGUCCCUCUGAAGAAUUCCCCUGUGAUAUUCAGCCCCUGACACUGGCUACUCAUCGAAAUCUCAGAUCCUCUGCUCCCAAAGGAACAAGACAGAGCGAUCCCUUGCCCGUUGUAAUUUUCCUUUUUUACCUCCAAGUGGUUUCAAUUGUUUGCAGUUCUCUUUGAUGGUUUUCUACUGAGUGUUCUGGGAUGGGACAAGGGCAGACGACUGAACCUUGCACUACAUCACCAGCUAACCAGAGAGAGGCAACAGCUCCCUCCCACUUGAAUGGGCCAUCACUAAUUCCCUGGUGACCAAUUUCUACUCCAAUACCAUAAGGCACAGUUUUCAACAUAAUUACAUUUAUUCCUUAAAUAUACCUGUACACAUCUUGCAAUGAUUAUGAGUAGGACUCUGUGUCUGUCACAGAGGUCGCAGAAGUCACAGAUUCCAUGACUUUCCAUGACCUCUGACUUGUACAGUGCCAAGGUGAUGACCCCAGGGCUGCCCAGGCUGCUCAGAUGGCCCUGGGGACCGCUCGAGCAGUGGCCAAUGCAACUGACCUGGGGACUGCCUGAGCAGUGGUCCCGGGGCAGCUGGAGCAGCCACUGUUUGGUUGCCCCAGUAGCUGGUGCUACUGGUCUUGGGGUGCAGCCCUCACCCUA